Long non-coding RNA from Melopsittacus undulatus (budgerigar), 3038 nucleotides. The record is from Ensembl. NCBI's taxonomy places the organism in Eukaryota, Metazoa, Chordata, Aves, Psittaciformes, Psittaculidae.
AUUUGUGAGACACAGUACCCAUUUUAUCUUGCUUUUUAAGAAGCUCUGAGGAGGGGAGUGAUGACAGUUGGCAUACUUCCGAGGAGGAGGAACUCGAUUUUACCCCCAAGAAGCUGCAGAAGCCAAACUUGACACUGUUACUGAAUGCUUCCCAGCAGUACAGGAAAAACAAUGGUGAUAGUUCUAGAAUUGAAAGUCUUAAGUCACCAAAUAAAUGCCUCAGAGAAAGAACCCUGUCAGAUGCAAAUGCAAGCAAAGGAAAAUGUGGACAGUUACUGACUCAAGAUGUGUCAGAUGCAAAAAGCCUGGAGGAGGAGAAGGAAAUAGAGGAGGAAGAGGAAUAUGAUGAAAAAGAUAAUGGAGAUGAUGAUGAGGAUUAUGAGGAAGAGGAAGAAGAGGGUGAAGAUCUCACUCAAGACGAAAAGGAGGAGGAAGAUCUUGAAGAUGAAGAAACUCAGUCUAAUGGCAUAUUGGAGGAGGAGCAGGGUGAGAAAAAAGAACCUAAAGGGGAAAUUAAUCAGAAACUGGAAUACGUUAGUAGUGCCAAGUAUGAAGGGAAAGCUCGGUGUGAAGCUGGAAAUGUCUGUGAUAAUGCUGUAAGUAAAGAACUUGAUGAAAAGGUGGAGGAAUCUGUUGAUGCUCAUGUGUCUUUUCUAGGUGGAUGUUAUGAACCGUCGCAAGAAAAUAUAACUGCCAUGUCUCCAAAGACAAUGAAUAAUGAAGUAUCUUGCAAGUCAGUAGGAAAACAAGCUGUCUUUCAAAAUCUAAAUAAUUUGCAAGAUACACAAGAAAGCUGGAACAAGAAAAGCAUGAUCCAGAAGUUUCACAGAAAUGGUGACUCCUGUUCUGUAGACUCUGAAAUGACCAACUGGAAAAAGGAGAUACCUCAGCCUCUCUCAGGUAGCUGUGGUCUUAAGGAGAAAAAGUCAGGCUUUGGUGAUGGCUUUGAAAAUGGUGAUAAUUCUUGGUUAGCAGCAAAAAACCUAAGGCUUGGAAGUCAAAGACCAAGCUCUGUUGUUCUUGAAUGUGUGGAUGAUGACGAUACUGAAGAAGAGCAAUGUGAAGAAGUAGAUGGUGAAGUCUGUGAAGCACUGAAGCAAGAAAGUGAAAACUUGUGCUUAAACAAGUGUGAAGAAAAUUUAAAAGCAGCAUUUUACUCGAGCACCAAAGAGGAAUCGUCUGAGUGGGAUGACGAGGAGGAGCAGGAGAAGCAAGGUGUUGGUGAAGAGCUACAAACUGCAGUUGUUGAGGGUGCCCUGACAGCAGUGGAAGUAGAGGAAGAUGCUGAUUCUCCCUGGGAUUCUGAGAUUAUAGAGACAGAUCCUGGAAGUCUGAGAAAAGCAUCAUCUGGUGUGUUGUUCCCAGCUGCAGACAGACAUGGAACAUGCUCUCAGGUUGCUUCAGGGGAACACAAUGGCUUUUCAGAGAAACCCAGCAAUUCCCAGUUGAAGACUCCCCAAGCUGCUUCAGAAAUAAAUAAACCCUCUCCUAAAAAUAGGCAGGAGAAAUCAGAUCUGUUGGAGGAAUUUGGUUUAGGAGAUGCAGAGGAUAUUGAAGGUGAGUACUCGGGAUCUACCUCUCACGUAUCAUCAUCAGCUACAAAAGAAGACAUCAAGGAUACCACUGAAAACUAUGGAGUACAGGAUAAAUACAUUUUAGAAACUACCAACUUGAUGCAAAAAGCAGCACAUGAAAAUCAGACUGGCAGAGCAGAAAUUUCUCACCAUGAUGAGAAGUGCCAUAGUGCUGACAAGCAGUUAAGUCAAAAAACUUGGGAAGAAAGGUACGAAAAACUGUGGGUUGAAAAUGAAAAAAGGGCAUUGAAAACAAGUUUUAAAAACAUUACAGCAGAGCUGAAGCAACUGUUUGGUGAAAUUAAUGAAACGGGGAAAACUGCUUCCCUUGUGGAAGAAGUAUCAGAAGAUGGCUUCAAUGAAGAAUUGAAGAGUUCUGUUGUUUCGUCUCCUGUGACAGAAUCAAGUAGUAAGCUAGAAAGUAAAGGUGAUUUUGGAGAUAUUAAACCCGUGUUAGGUGGGAAAGUACCCAAAAUGGCAAUUGUAAUUCCAAGUCUUGGUGUCCUUCCUGAUCAAAAUGACUUAAAUGCAAAUAUGGAAGAUACCUGGAGUGCAGAUGAAGAAGAUGGCAGAAACGAUAGAGAUAAUACAAAGGUGCCUGUAGCAACAGGAGAGGAAAAGGAAGUGCCUACAAUGAAAAUGGAAGAGAAGGAAAAUGGAACUAGUAGGAAUGUAGAGGGAGAUCCUGAAUGCUCCCUGAGACAUAGCUUAAAACCAGAUAUUUUGGAUGAUGCUUCUAAUGCUUUUCCUAAAACAAGACCUGUUUCUACAAGUGAUGAAGACGCACUUUGUGCAACAGAAAGGAAGCUUGGAAAAGUCUCUGGAUUUAAUGAAGAUCUUCCCAGCGACUGCCUUCUUGACAAUAAUAGUAUAGGAGAAACGAAAAUUGAAAGUCCUUUUGCAAAUGCUCGACAAUCAUGUGGCAUACUGAAAAGGAGUCUUGAUGAGCAACUAAAACAAGAUAUGGAAAGAUUUAAGAGUAAGAUAGGAAUGCUGCAAAUAGUAUUCCUGGCUUUGGAGAAAGAGAAGGCAGAGCUGCAAAAAGAGGUUGAGAAAGAAAGAUGUUUAAAAAUGAAGGUGAUGACAAAACAAGAUGACCCUGAUAAAUCAUAUACACCACCAAGCAACACUGCUGAUCAGCAAAGGCAACAGAAGCUAACUCUAAGGAAGAAUGAGUGUUUGAAAAUGGAGAAUGAAAGUGCUAUAGAAGAAAAGGACAAAAAGAACUUUUCAUCUGAGAAGAGGUCAAAACUGAUUAAAAUGCCAAUGAAAGGAAAACUUGCUCUGAAUGCAGAUGUUGCAAAGAAAAACAAAAGAUGGACUUUGAAGAAGGUGGCUGAUCAGCAGUUGGGUUCUUCCAGUGGGAAUAAUUUUCAAGUACUGGAUGACAGCACUUCCAGUGAGACAUCUCAAGAUGAAGGAAGGUGCUGAAUAUAAGGAAUGUUAUAAAGAAACCUUACUUAA